UAAUUAGUUAGUUAGUUGGUUAGUUAGUUAGUUAGUUAAUUAGUUGGUUAGUUAGUUAGUUAGUUAUUUGCCGUUUCAGAAAUUUUAUGAAUAUUAACAAAAACUUUGUAUAUAUCUUCAAUAAGAAUGACUGCGUCUUCCACUUUAUAGCCACAACAAGAAAAAAUACUCUUAUUUAAAACUUUAAAAUAAAUUAUAUAAAGAAACAAAAAAGAUAUUUUUUCUUAAAAUCUACAAUGAGACAGUUUUAUGAGGGCCAUUAAAACAAAAUGCGAAUAAGUUGUAGAAGGAAAUGUUGCAAGGCAGCCAGCAAGUUGUAGUAGUAGAGUAGUAAAGUAGCAAAACAAUAACGAAAAAAUUUGCAAAAAAAAAAAAACAAGACACAAAAAUUCAAUGCACGAUUUUUGCAUGCAGACCAUGACCCACACCAACUUUUGGCUAAAAUCAAAAUAAUACGAAAAAAAAACAAAAUAAAAAAAAUGUUUGUGUGUUUUAUUUUAGACAUGACGAAGCACAAAAAUUAUAAAACAACCUGACUAACUAACUGGCUGAAUGACAGACAGACGGACAGACAAACACUGAAUACAGAAAAAUAAGGAAAAGGAAAAGAAUAAAAACCGAAAUUAACAGGAAGGCAAAGCCUGUAGGGAAAUGGCAGAGAGGAGGAAAUAUGUACCAAUAAAUAAAAGAAGUUAAAGUUUUUAUAUGUACACAAAGAAAAUAUUAAAAUUAAAAUAUUUUGUUAAAAAUAUAAAGUUAAAUGAAAAUUUUUGUAGCAAUAUUAAAAACGAUUACUGAUAUCUCUUUGAAAAACAAACCCUCCCUCCUUAUCUCUCUCACAAGCUCUCUCUUAAAAUGUACAAUUUAUGUUUCUAUAUGUUUUAUAUAGACUGUGUCUAACUGUGUGAGUGUGUUGGUAUAUAUUUUUGAAAUCAGUACAUUUUUUGUUUUUGUCUUUCUUUCAUUGCCUUCGUCUUUCUUGCAUAUUUUAUUUUUAUGCGAAUAUCUGAAGUAAAACAGAAUGUUGAAAGGUUAAUCAACUCUAAACGUCUGCUGCUUUUGUAGGUUGUUGUUAUUGUCGAUGUUUUGCGUUAUAAAUGGGUUUGAGUGUAUGUACAUGUGAGAUUGUUGGCUAGGACGACACCAUGUUGUUUUGCUGCAACGACAUCAACACAGAAGAGCAAAGCAUAAUAUUACAUUCAAAAGUUUACUUUCAACCUGUUUUGGUCUCUGCCAAUUGUUUUAAUGUGUUUUUUUUUUGGUGUUGUUCGUACAUAUGAUAUGUUGCAUGUAUGUAUUAUUUCAAUUACAGUGAAGAACCAAAAAGGUAAACUUGCACUUGAAAUAACUUGUUGUCAAUUUGUAGAAAUUAAUUGAAAUUUUUUGACAACAGCGUCAGAGAAAUAUGUUUACAUGCCUACUUUCAUAAGUGUGUCUCACAUAUCGCAAAACAACAUCCACGCACAAUUGCUGUACUAACAUUUUUCUAACAAAUUUCAAUGUUUCAAAAAUUUAUUUGUUUAAAAUUCUUUUAUAAAAUUCAAUUCCUUUUUUUGCUCAGAUCAAAUCAUCAUGUGCACUGAUAUAUAUAUUUUAAAAAUACUUUUCAAUAUUAAAAUUUAAUAAAAUUAAAUAAAAAAUAUGUUGAUUAACACA
Lucilia cuprina (Australian sheep blowfly) is the source of this 1656-nucleotide long non-coding RNA. RefSeq lists it as uncharacterized. NCBI's taxonomy places the organism in Eukaryota, Metazoa, Arthropoda, Insecta, Diptera, Calliphoridae. The transcript has 2 exons. The record is from RefSeq and is a predicted model, not a curated record.